ACACUAUGCAGAGUGUGAUGUAAAGUAGGC
This 30-nucleotide non-coding RNA is filed under the name Homo sapiens (human). Lineage: Eukaryota; Metazoa; Chordata; Mammalia; Primates; Hominidae. The record is from RNAcentral.